Molecule: transfer RNA, 73 nt
Filed under: Spironucleus salmonicida
Lineage: Eukaryota; Fornicata; Diplomonadida; Hexamitidae
Description: tRNA-Arg
Rfam family: tRNA
About the family: Transfer RNA (tRNA) molecules are approximately 80 nucleotides in length. Their secondary structure includes four short double-helical elements and three loops (D, anti-codon, and T loops).
Source: Rfam by way of RNAcentral
GCGCCCUUAGCAGAAUGGACAAUGCGUUGGACUUCGGAUCCAAAGAUUGCGGGUUCGAGUCCCGUAGGGCGUA